This 139-nucleotide small nucleolar RNA is filed under the name Myotis brandtii (Brandt's bat). Its description in RNAcentral is "Small nucleolar RNA SNORA3/SNORA45 family". It matches the Rfam family "Small nucleolar RNA SNORA3/SNORA45 family", at positions 19 to 131 of the family's 131-position model. From Rfam's summary of the family: The members of this family belong to the H/ACA class of snoRNAs which are thought to guide the sites of modification of uridines to pseudouridines. This family includes mouse snoMBI-28 and human homologues ACA3 (SNORA3) and ACA3-2 (SNORA45). The record is from Rfam by way of RNAcentral. Lineage: Eukaryota; Metazoa; Chordata; Mammalia; Chiroptera; Vespertilionidae.
CCCGACUAAAUAGUCAGGUAUUGCAUGUUUUAAAAAUUAUUUGGCCUGGUGUGCUACAGUUCUCGGAGAGAAUCUGCUGGUCUUGAUUCACUGGGCUGGGCAGUAAGUGCCCCCGGUAGUGCCCAGAUCAGAAACAUAG